GACGAACGCUGGCGGCGUGCUUAACACAUGCAAGUCGAACGGAAAGACCCUGCUUUUGUGGGGUGCUCGAGUGGCGAACGGGUGAGUAACACGUGAGUAACCUGCCCUUGACUUUGGGAUAACUUCAGGAAACUGGGGCUAAUACCGGAUAGGAGCUCCUGCUGCAUGGUGGGGGUUGGAAAGUUUCGGCGGUUGGGGAUGGACUCGCGGCUUAUCAGCUUGUUGGUGGGGUAGUGGCUUACCAAGGCUUUGACGGGUAGCCGGCCUGAGAGGGUGACCGGCCACAUUGGGACUGAGAUACAGCCCAGACUCCUACGGGAGGCAGCAGUGGGGAAUAUUGCACAAUGGGCGGAAGCCUGAUGCAGCAACGCCGCGUGCGGGAUGACGGCCUUCGGGUUGUAAACCGCUUUCGCCUGUGACGAAGCGUGAGUGACGGUAAUGGGUAAAGAAGCACCGACUAACUACGUG
RNAcentral lists this ribosomal RNA (468 nucleotides) under uncultured bacterium. Its description in RNAcentral is "partial 16S ribosomal RNA". It matches the Rfam family "Bacterial small subunit ribosomal RNA", at positions 28 to 507 of the family's 1533-position model. The record is from RNAcentral.